Small nucleolar RNA from Dothistroma septosporum NZE10, 88 nucleotides. NCBI's taxonomy places the organism in Eukaryota, Fungi, Ascomycota, Dothideomycetes, Mycosphaerellales, Mycosphaerellaceae. The record is from Rfam.
UCAUGAUGAGCCCUUUUAGAUGACGAGUCUUAUUCGGCUUUGCCGUUGCUGACACAACCUUUUUUAACCAUUCAUGCAUUCUCUGACC